GUCUACGGCCAUACCACCCUGAACACACCCUAUCUUAUCCUUCUUGGAAGCUAAGCAGGUUUGGGCCUGGUUAGUAUUUGGAUGGGAGAAUACAAAGUCUUCAGUUUGGAAGGUCUGAUCUGUGACU
RNAcentral lists this ribosomal RNA (127 nucleotides) under Microcebus murinus (gray mouse lemur). Lineage: Eukaryota; Metazoa; Chordata; Mammalia; Primates; Cheirogaleidae. The record is from RNAcentral.